AUAAGGGGUUUCCGUAGGUGACCUGCGG
This 28-nucleotide ribosomal RNA is filed under the name Phlebia tremellosa. RNAcentral's name for it is "partial 18S ribosomal RNA". Lineage: Eukaryota; Fungi; Basidiomycota; Agaricomycetes; Polyporales; Meruliaceae. The record is from RNAcentral.